GAUGAAGAACGUAGCGAAAUGCGAUAAGUAAUGUGAAUUGCAGAAUUCAGUGAAUCAUCGAAUCUUUGAACGCAUCUUGCGCUCCUUGGUAUUCCGAGGAGCAUGCCUGUUUGAGUGUCAUUAAAUUCUCAACUACACUGAUUUUUUUUGGUUGGUGUAGAUUGGAUUUGGGGGGAUUUUUUGCGGGCUUUGUAAAAUGAAGUCGGCUCCCCUGAAAUUGAUUAGCGGUACCUUUGUGGAACUGUCUACAGGUGUGAUAAUUAUCUACAUCUUAGACAUCUGCUGGAAUGCUGCUUUCUAAACCUUACUUGUAUUGACAAUCUUGACCUCAAAUCAGGUAGGACUACCCGCUGAACUUAAGCAUAUCAAUAAGCGGAGGA
Molecule: unclassified non-coding RNA, 380 nt
Filed under: soil metagenome
Description: partial contains 5.8S ribosomal RNA, internal transcribed spacer 2, and large subunit ribosomal RNA
Rfam family: 5.8S ribosomal RNA (bases 1-120)
Source: RNAcentral